UACGUAGGUGGCAAGCGUUGUCCGGAUUUACUGGGCGUAAAGCGCGUUCAGGCGGUUUGGCAAGUCGGGCAUGAAAUCUCUCGGCUCAACCGGGAGAGGUUGUCCGAUACUGCUGGACUUGAGGGCAGUAGAGGGUGGUGGAAUUCCGGGUGUAGUGGUGAAAUGCGUAGAUAUCCGGAGGAACACCAGUGGCGAAAGCGGCCACCUGGACUGUACCUGACGCUGACACGCGAAAGCUAGGGGAGCGAACGGG
This 253-nucleotide ribosomal RNA is filed under the name uncultured bacterium. Its description in RNAcentral is "partial 16S ribosomal RNA". It matches the Rfam family "Bacterial small subunit ribosomal RNA", at positions 524 to 776 of the family's 1533-position model. The record is from RNAcentral.